Unclassified non-coding RNA from Piliocolobus tephrosceles (Ugandan red Colobus), 305 nucleotides. Its record names the gene 7SK. It matches the Rfam family "7SK RNA". From Rfam's summary of the family: 7SK was discovered as an abundant small nuclear RNA in the mid-70s but a possible function has only recently been suggested. Two independent studies have found that 7SK RNA binds the CDK9/cyclin T complex (known as elongation factor P-TEFb). P-TEFb activates transcription by phosphorylating the C-terminal domain of RNA polymerase II. Lineage: Eukaryota; Metazoa; Chordata; Mammalia; Primates; Cercopithecidae. The record is from Ensembl.
GGCUGUGAGGGAGAUCCGGCUGUGACAUCGGUGACACCACUGAUUGCCAGUGUUGAUUUGCCUGAUCUGGCUGGCUAGAUGGGUGUCCCUUUCCUUUCUCACUGCUCCAUGCGUGUUCCUGUCUUUGCACUCAGUCAAAGACGGUGACCUUCCCCGACAGAGGAGGGUUGUUCUUGGGUAAGAGUAUACGAGUAGCCAUGCUAUUCUGAUAGAACAUUCAAACAAGCUCUUAAGAAUAGGGAGAGGCCGGGUACAGGGGCAUGCACCUGUCCCAGCUACUCAGAAGUGGGAGGAUGGCUUGAGCC